RNAcentral lists this long non-coding RNA (1097 nucleotides) under Homo sapiens (human). RNAcentral's name for it is "HSALNT0372777". The record is from RNAcentral. Lineage: Eukaryota; Metazoa; Chordata; Mammalia; Primates; Hominidae.
UGAUCCUCCUGCCUCAGCCUCCUAAGAAGAUGAGAAAACUGAGAUCCAGAAAUUCAAGAUCAAUAACCAAUAAUUGAAAAGGAAGUAAGACAGCCUGCCUUUGGAAUAUUGUGCCACUUUACCAAUAAUUUACUCUAAUUAAAAUGAAACAAAAAUGUGUGCAUGUUAUUGGAUGUAUGGAAAGAUGCAUCAAACUAAAUGACCUCAAGGGAGAGGUGUGGCUUCCGUGAGGAAGAUGACAAGACUCCUUCUUGGUACUCAUGUAAUAAGUUUGUGAUAAAAGAUAUUAUUACUAAACAAAGAUUAACAUGUAUAACUUGUCUCCUUUAAACAUAAUCUCAGAAUAUUAGGCAAAAAUAUUAGAGAGUAGAAAGUCUCUCCUCUUCGUUAAGUUCUCUAAAACAUUUUUACUCUUUAACAGGUUCAACUCUACCAACUGUCUAUAGCAUUUCACAGUGUUGUGGAUGAUUAUGCUGUCUAGGGAACUGAGUAGUUACUGCACUUUCAAAAACAUCAUCUCACAGUCCUGAGGUCCUGCAAAGUUUGUGUCUUUCCAUUCUUACAUAUAACUUACUUAACAGUUACUGCUAUCAAGAAAGUCUUGCCUUCUCACACUUCUUCCAUUAUUUUUAUGCCCUAUUUCAGUGAUCUAUCCACACAUCCAUCUUCAAGCUUCCCAAAGGCAGGAAUCACCUAUUGUUCGUCUGUAAACUCCAAUGAGAAACAUACAGUCUGGUGUAUGGGAGGUCAUCAAAACAAGUGUGGAGGUAUAAGCUAAGACUGACAACUGCCUCCCAAGUUUCUAUUCAAAAGUAAUCAUUUUGGAUGUAAAUCUCAUCAGGAAUGUGUUUAAACUCAGGAACUGCUGAAUUGUACUGUAACUUGGCUCAUCCCAAAUAGUGCAGUUGUCUUCACAAUGGAGAGACUGUCACAGCCUAAAAAGACACGUGACUCUGAGCAUCAGUUUACUGGCUGCCCACUCAAUGAUUCAGACUCCUCCAUUCUUUGUGUGGAAGAGAACUGGCCUUCCGGGAGCCUGAGGCCAAGUGAGAGAACCUUCUGAAAGCCGUCACUGCAUGGGGAGCCUGGACUUACCC